GGAUUAGAGGAAGGAGUAGAGGAAACCAUCAGAGGUGCAGAGGAAAUAGGAGGAACAGACGUACCAGUAGAAAUUUGCAGAGGAGCUGGAGAUCUGCUUCCAGAAGAUUCUCCAAGUCUUGCCUUCUUUGCCUGUGAUGUUAUCUUCUUCUCAGAGAGACCUCUCUUGUACCUGACGAAGUCUUCUUCUGAAUCUAGACAAUCGUCGAGGCUGAAGUCAGAGAUGUCAACACCUUCAUCCAGCAGACGAUUAAGAUAGAUAGCAACCGCAUCUC
This 274-nucleotide long non-coding RNA is filed under the name Lathyrus oleraceus (garden pea). RNAcentral's name for it is "Pisum sativum (pea) long non-coding RNA (PSAT_LNC020617)". Lineage: Eukaryota; Viridiplantae; Streptophyta; Magnoliopsida; Fabales; Fabaceae. The record is from RNAcentral.